UAUAUAUACACACACACAUAUAUAUACUGGGAAAGGGGGAGUGGUUUGAAACUUGACUCCACUUGCAAUUCCAGGGACUGCUAGUGUGCACCCUGGGAGGCAGCUGGUGUUGCCUCCAGUACUAGGGUACAUGAGAGACCUAGAUGGAGUUCCUGGUUCCCUGCCUGGCCCACCCCUGUCAGCUGUCUGGCUAUUUCUCUCUGUGUGUCUGUCUCUUUGUCUUUCAAAUAAAAUGACGACAAAAAACAAUCCCUAACAAAACAAAACAAAUAAACAAAAAACAGCAGAUGCUGAAGCUACAAUGGCAUUGAAAUAAAUGCCUUACAAAGUAUAACUGUUAUGGUUUCCUGAGAUGUGACCUUUUCACACAAUGAAAUGUUUCAUUGCUAGAGAGGCUUUUGGCAUUUUAAGAUAGAAGAAGUUGUCCGUUUUCUCCAUGUUGAGUUGUAAUGGACUUGGCUGAGGCUCGCAGACUGGACGGUGACUCCCAACACCUAUGUCACCAUCACUUUGUUCUCAGGGUCCUGUUCUGCUGACAGAGAGCCUGCUGCACUUUUCCAGACCCAGCCCUUAUUAGGACCUGCUGGUGGAGUCCUAGCACUGAACAGUACUUUGUGUUAAGAAUUAUCAGCUCUUACUUUCCCCAUUUCCUUUUCCUUAUAUUGACCAUAAUUUCCAUUUGAAAUAGUAAAGACAAAAUUUAAAUCUAGGAUGAAUUUCUCUUCAGGCCUACAAUUAGAUUUGAAAGGAUGUUGCAAUAUAGAUUAAGGCUAUUUUUGCUUCGGUUUAUCUCUGACCCAUGAACUUGACCUCUCAGGGUUGCUCAUUCAUCAGUGCAUCAUCCUGGCCUGCGCACACUUACCCCAACCUUAGAGGGCAUUUGACUGUGGCCUCAAACAUUCCAUGUCACUUUCCUAUAGCAAGUAAAGCCAUCAGAUGCAACACCAGCAUCCUAUAGGGGCUCUGGUUUAAGUCCUGAUUGCUCCACUUCUGAUCCAGCAUCCUGCUUUUGGCCUGGGAAAACAGCAGAGGAUGGUCCAAGUGCUUGGGCCCCAGCCCCCUGUGUGAGAGACUCUGAUGAAUCUCCCAGCUCUAGGAUUUGGCUUGACCAACCUCUGUUCAUUGCAACCAUUUGGAGAGUGACCCAGCGGAUGGAAAGACUCUCUCUAUCUGUAUCUCCUCUCUCUGUAAUUCUUUCAAAUAGAUAAUUUUUUGAAAAUUUAUUUAUUUAUUUGAAAUUCAGAGUUACACACAGAGAGAAGGAGAGCCAGAGAAAGAGAGAAAGAGAUCUUCUAUCCAUUGGUUUACUCCCCAGUUGGCCACAAUGGACAGAGCUGCUCCAAACCAAAGGCAGGAACCAGGAACUUCCUCCGGAUCUCCCACAUGGAUGCAGGGGCCCAAGGACUUGGGCCAUCUUCUACUGCUUUCCCAUGCCAUGGCAGAGAGCUGGAUGGGAAGUGGAGCAGCUGGGACUUGAACCGGCCCUCAUAUGGGAUGCUGGCACUGUAGGUGGUGGCCUUACCUGCUAUGCCACAGCGCUGGGCCCCAAAUAGAUAAAUCUUAAAAACAAGGAGAUCCUCAUCAUGGACAGGUUCUUUCUUGUCUGACUCCUCCCUGUGACUCUAGUCCUAUUGCAUAAUCUCAUUCCUACUGUAUUUACAAGUUUAAUUCCUAUACUAGAGAGAAAAUGCUCCAACAUCACAGCCUUUUUUGCCUAUCAGUUUUGUGUCUUUAACACCACACACAGCUCUGGACAUGGCAGGCCUUCAAUGUUGAUAAAAUGCAUGAAGUAUAAGGAGAGAGAUCAAUUUGUUGCUAAGUGAUUCUUUUUUUUAUUAUUUUUAUUUUUUAAUUUUUUUAUUUUUUCAUUUUUUGACAGGCAGAGUGGACAGUGAGAGAGAGAGAGACAGAGAGAAAGGUCUUCCUUUGCCGUUGGUUCACCCUCCAAUGGCCGCCGUGGCCAGCGCGCUGCGGCAGGCGCACUGCGCUGAUCCGAAGGCAGGAGCCAGGUACUUAUCCUGGUCUCCCAUGGGGUGCAGGGCCCAAGCACUUGAGCCAUCCUCCACUGCACUCCCUGGCCACAACAGAGAGCUGGCCUGGAAGAGGGGCAACCGGGACAGAAUUCGGCGCCCCGACCUGGACUAGAACCCGGUGUGCCAGCGCCACAAGGUGGAGGAUUAGCCUAAUGAGCCGCGGUGCUGGCCGUUAAGUGAUUCUUAGUGGUUUUACAAGUGUUAACCUAAACUUUGCUUUCCUUCUAUGCUGUUUCAUGACAAAAACAGGAUGAUCUUUUCUGAACUGGAUCCAUUUCUUUUGAAUGGACACAUAUAACUCAUCCAAACUGGUGACUGUGGGAUAAAGUGGGAAGGAUCUUGGCUGGGAGUCUGGAGUUCUGGGAGUACUCUCGUGAUUUUAAGCCGGCCAUGUAAUCUCUCAUACUUGUUUUCUCAUGUCUUGUUCUCAGGUCUUUUCACCUGUAGAAUUCUGUGGACGGAGGAUGACCUUUAUCUGAUUUUCUCACAUUAGGUCCAUUCUAUUUGGCUCUAUUCUUUCCCCUCAUUGCCCUUCUAUUGUACUUUUCCCACUUUCACAUCUCAAACGUAAAAGCAUUCAUUAUUUGGGGAUGCCCUCCACUUCCCUGCCAAUUAAGUAACUUUAAUGUAUGUCAUUUCUGCACAGCAACAGACUAAGUACCACAGUGCAUCCCAGCUUCCUCAUAUACAGCUUUUGCUAUGGAUUCUGAUGGAAACUAUGCUUGAAAGAUUGACUCAAGGGUGAGGGCUGUAUCACCUGCAAUCAUAAUGUGUAUCAGCUCAUUUGUCUUACAUAACAGCUUAUGAAGUUACUUUACAAGAUCAAGUUCAAGCAUCUACACUGAUGAGGACUAGGGUUCUAGUGUACCAAAUGUAGGGCAAAGGUGUGUCUCUGGGGUGUAUCAUUUGCAAGAACCCAAUUGCUAACUUGAAAAUAGAAGAGAAUGCUUCUAUCAAGUUAAAAUAAUUGCAUAAGAUCUGAUCUGAUCUGAAUGGCCUUGUCUUUGAUAUAAAAAGCAGACUCUCUGGCUGGCCCUGGAGUGAGAACAGGAGCACAGUCAGUGCUGACAACGACUGAUGUGGCUGGUGUCUUGAGACUGCAUGGCUGCCUGUGCUGUUCAGUUCAGCACAGCACUUUCUACAGGACUUUGCACCCCAUUCACUGCCCUGGUGACAGAUCUGUGUCCGUCAGCAGGCAGGAAGGCUGCAGCCACAUUGUGAUUCAAUGCUGAACUCUCCUGGUUUUUGUAAAUGAACUGGCUGCUUUGGGUCUGGUGAUUACUUUACAGUCUGAUCCACAGUGAGGUUAGAAACAAAAAAGCAGUCACAUAUGUCCCUUCCAUUUCAAUGUAUUUCCAACGAUACUUGAGGGACAUGCUCCUUUUUCUCAUUUUUUAUUUAGUUUUGAAUUCAUUUUUAUUUUAAUCAUUCAUAUUUAUGGAGUAUGAUGUGACAAUUUAAGUUUACAGGACAUUGUGUAGAUUUCAGGUUAUUUAGCAUGUCCAUCUCCUUAAACAUUUCUUUCAAGAUUUUUGAUCAAUACACUAAUUUUGCAAAAUUAUGGACUACAGCUUGACAUUUCAGUAAAUGUAUACAUUGUGUAUUGUUCAACAUUCACCUCUCCUUAUCCCUUGAUGUUUGGAGACUCCCUGUCCCUCUCUUCCAUUUUCUAAUAUAUAAUAGAUAAAAGUGAACCUCAGUCAACUCCCCAGGGCUAUAGAGCCCUGGAUUGCUUCUGUCUGUUUUUGGGACCUAUUAUCCAACAUCUCUCUGUCCCUCCCCUCCCAACCUCUCCAUCCUCUGCUGAUCACGAUUCUAUAUUAAUGGAAGUCGAUAUUUCUUAGCCACCACAUGAAGAAUAGAACCCACAGAAUUUGUUUCCCUGACUUAUUUUGCUCAAUAUGAUGUCUUCCAGUUCCAAUUCCACCCAUGUGCUGUGUAGGAGAAGAUAUCAUUCUUCUAUAUGGCUGGAUGACAUUCUAUCAUGUACAUGUACCUCCUUUUCCUUUUCUUAGUCACUCAUCUGUGAAUGAGCAUCUAGGCUGAUUUCAUGUCUUAGUUCCUGUGACUACCAUAUCGAUACAUAAGCCUGUGCUACAAUCUCAUUGCUAAGACUAAGCCUUCCUUCUCAUUUGAUAGACAGGAAAAUUGAAAGCUGGUGAGAUUAACUGACUCCCUCUAAGUCCUAUAUCAGACUAGAUAAGGAGUUAGAUGCUUGAUUUCCAUUCCUAAUUCUUAGCCCAGGACUUUCUCUACCCUUCUGUGUUCAUUUAUCUCCUAUGUUUAAUUCAUGUAUGUGUAAAGCAUAACUAUAAGCAAAUAUAAUUUUUCAGCACAUGUGAGUGAAUGAUACCUGGCCAGAGAGAGAGAGCACCUCCUGGAGGAGAUGGCUUUCAGGCUAGGAAGGAUUCAUGCCCCCCACUAUAUGUUAUUUUUUAAAAAGAUUUAUUUAUUUAUUUGAAAAGCAGAGUUGCAGAGAGGCAGAAGCAGAGAGAGAGAGGAAGAGAGGGAGAGAGAGAGAGGUCUUCCAUCUUCUGGUUCACUCCCCAGAUGGCAGCAAUGGCUGGAGCUGCGCCGAUCCAAAGCCAGGAGCCAGGAGCUUCUUCUGUGUCUUCCACACAGGUUGGGGUGCCCAAGGACUUGGGCCAAUUUCUACUGCUUUCACAGACCAUAGAAGAGAGCUAGACGGAAGAGAAGCAGCCAGGACUUGAACCAGGCAGAUAGGAUACCGGCACUGCAGGCAGAGGCCUUACUGCUAUGCCACAGUGCCCCCACUAUACGUUAGAAUUCCCUGCAAAUAAAAGUGUCUGGUUGUCAGGUGACCCCUGUUGUCAGGUUAGGUAUCAGAAUCACCUGAGGCUUUGGUAUUUUUAUUUAUGCAUUGAGGAAAUUGACUUAAGCAUUCAAUUUAUCUCAGAUAAGAGAAAACCAGUUUCAUAGCAGUGAUUUGAAUGAGAUAUGAUGAAAUUAGAAAAGAAAGGAAGCAUCACUUUCGGGUGUCUGGAAUGUAGAGACAAUGAUAUUUCGUAAGAUAAUUAAUAGCAACCAUUUUGAGAUCUGGAGCAGAAGUUAACUUUACUGGCUCAGUGAGUGUCAUGAACUAUUUGCAGUCUGUAUUUUAGAUGCUAACUGCACAGGAAUAUUAGGAGCUCACAGGAAUUACCCUAUGGUUUUUUUCUCUGUCUAUAUGCUGAAAAUUUUUUUACUCUGUUAACGGUACACAAUCUUUUCACAGUUAUUUGCCCCAUGAUCUCACUCAUCUAUAUUGAUGAUGGGUUGCUUUGUUGAAUGUAAUUAUACCUUGAAACAUGGCAAGAUUAUACACCAAUGCAGAGUGAGUGUGUGUGUUAUAAUUAUUUGAUGAAUGCACCUGCUUUCAUCACCUGCUAUCUAGGGGGAAAAUUCAAUUUUGUAACCUGUUUCAGUAGCAUCCAGUUACUAUAGGCGGACUAUUCUUUCUUAUUUAUACCUUAUUGUUUAUUUUCCUUGUUGUUCUUCAGUGGUUUGCUUUGAUGUUUUAUUCAUAUCUUUAAUUUGGGAUUCUUAACUUUGCUUAACACCUAAAGCAGUUUUGAGAAUGUGACUUUAAAAACAAAAACAAAAACCCAAGAAGUUUGUAGAAUGGACCCUGAGUGGUAAAUAAUCCAUUUUCUUGUAUAGGUGUUAUUUGAUUAGGCCAAACUGAUGUCACUCAAUGAAAAACAGAAAAGCAUUCUCAAGUCCUAGCAGUGAAGACACUGAUUGCAAUGCCUUUGCCUUGUAGCAGAGAGCUUUGGAUCUGGUUCCUCCCUUCAGCUCCAGAUUCCAUCAUCCUGGUAACGCAGAGCAUGGGAGGUGGCGGUGAGGGCUCAAGCAGCUGGGUUCCUGCCACUCCUGUGGAGACCAUAUACUGUUCCCAGCCUCCAGCUUUGGCUGAGAUCCAACUCCAGCUGUUGGCAUUUGGGAAGUGAACAAGAAGACAGGGGACAUUCAUUCUCCCUCUCCCCACCCCCCUUUCUUUUUCUUCAGUCUCCAUUUCUCAAUCUCUGUCUUUAUCUCUGUAUCUAUUUCUCUGCCUCUCAAAUAGCUUUGAAAAGCACUCUGAGUUUGUUGGGGGCUUAGCAAAAGUAGAUUUUAUGUAAGGAACAGAUCAUGAUUCGCAAUGCUGGAGUUCAAAUUCUGGCUCAGUUAACAAACUGCAUUAAAUAUCUCUGUUUCCAUUUCCUUAUCCAGAACACUGAGGGGAUAAUAAUAGUAACCUUAACCUCCAAGCGAUGGAUGAAAUGAUACGACAUGCAAAGUUUUACAAAUAGCACAAGCCUUCAGCUGUUUGUUUGACAUGUAUUUCACAAUAUCUGGAAACGUGUUUCCAAAUGGCAAAGUCCAGUGGACAUUUGUCAGCAACUUAAAAGCCCUAAAUAAAGAAACAGGCUCACUUGCUCUCAAUCACUCUAUCCUCCACAAGGCAAAUACACAGAAAGGCCUCUUUACAGAAAGAAAAAGCAAGCAACAAAACCACCGCCUCCACAAAGAUAUGUGAUACUUCCCUCUGAAAUCUAUUGAAUCUACCAAACCACUAAUGGGACAUCUUAGGGAAAUGGCAAAACCAAUUCUACAGCUAUGCCAAAUGAACCAAUUUACGGCUCGGCAUGGAUAACGCUCUGAAGUUAUAAAAGAUUCCCCAGAAGGAAAUUACAAGUCUGAAGUCAACAGCAAACCCAGGAAGUAAAGGACAGCAUUUACCCAAGAGCAAAUCUGAGAACUAGAAGCAGAAUUUGCCCAUCACAACUAUGUGACUAGACUGAGGAGAUACAAGAUAGCAGUGAAUCUGGAUCUCACCGAAAGACAGAAUCUCCUAAGUCCAGGCUUCCAAAUAAACACUCCCAGAGUGCUGGCUCUGGCAUCUCCACAUGCGGUGUCCUUGGGAACCUUGGAAGUUGAGAAGACAUUGCAAGUUCAAGCACUGGCCCUUGAAUGCUUGCAUGGGCCGUGACCCAUGUUACUUCAAUUUAGUGUUUCAGGUUCAGAAAUUGUCAAAUGGUGCAGCGUAGAGGAAAUUAUGGGACACAAGGGCACAUAGACCAUUCAUGAAUAUUUUUGUCCCAUUACUCCAAAUAUUUUUGAAAUUGUGCUGGUCUUGGUAAAUGCAAAAUUCUGGUACUAACUCAGAGAACAUUUUGGAAUUAUUAAAAAUGUUCACAUCUCAAAAGGUAAGGCCUAAAGAGUACUUUUACAUUAAUUUUGUAUUAAUCACUUCUUAGAUCCUCUUCUUGAAUUUUAUUUGGAUGACAGAAAGGGUCUCCUCUUAUAGUGCUCCCAGCACACUCGUUAUAAGGGCUGUGACUUGCCCUGGGAGAAUCUCAUUGACUGACAGUUAGCAGUUGUUAAGCUUUAGAAAAACAUUCCUGAAAGGCAAAUGCAAACAUCUUUAUGGACAGUGCAGUUAUGAUUGGCACUGUGAGGGCUGGAGUCUCAUUUCCUCUUUCACUGUGCACACCUCCUCUGGGGUCCCACUGGAACCAAGGAAAUAUCAACAGGGUGUGGACACACGAAUGCAUAUCUUAGGCGAGCAAGCUGCUUCAUCCAAUUUCUUAAAUCAUCUUUUUCCUUCUGUUAAUUUUACAUCUCAGCCCUGGUAGGUUAUUUCUGGGUGGGGAAAAUACAUACAGGAACACUUUGAUGUAGUUUUAUACAUUGCCAGUUUGUGUAUUAUUAAAUAUUAUGACUAGUAGCUAACUUAUGGAGCACAACAUUUCCUUCCAUUGAACUUCACAAAGUUCCCUCUAUAAGUGUACAGCUUCUGGCAUGCAGGAAACCUGUUCCAAAAUCUAUACCAUUAGACAAUAGUUUAUGUUUUCAUUUCUAAAAAAAAUGUUUACUUAAAAAUUUACAUACUUAUUUGAGAGGCAGAGAGAAAGAGAGGGGUGUAUUUGUUUUAUUAUUUUUUAAUUUCUAAAAAUUUAUUAUUUAUUUACUUAUUUGAGAGACAGAGAGUGAGAGAGAGAGGGGAUACAACUAUUGCUUGCUCACACUCCAAAUGUACACGAUGAUCCUUGGCUGUGGGCUGAAGCUGGGAGCCAAGAAUCCAAUCCAGGUCUCCCUGUGAGUAAUAGGAACUCCUUUACUGAGGCCACCACAGUGGCAUCCCAGGAUCUGUGUUAGCAGGAAGCUGGAGCCAGGAGCAGAGCUGAACCCAACCUGGAAUGCAAGUGUCUUAACCAACAUCAUAACUGCUAGACUAAAGCCUAUCCUGUGUUUUGUUCUUGUUUAAUUAUUUCUUUAACUGGGGACAGAACAAUAGGCAGGGGGAACUACAAAUUUCUGUCAUUAUAGAGGGGUAGUGAACUCCAGGAAAGGUAAUUAUGUUUUAUAUAAUACAUGAAGGAAGUUGGAAAUUGAAGUUUGCUUCCGGUGUUCAUAAUGAUGACUGCAAUACUGAGCCUUCGGUGAAGGACAAAGUAGAAACUCUGUGUUUACUACUCUGAGGAUAAUCUAGGGUUUUCCCCAACUAUCUAGUCAUUGAACAGAGGUUUCACUUUUGUCUGAGCAUAAUUCCUUUUGAAAAGUAAUUCUAUAAGCCUAGCUUGAGAGGUUUUGAAGUUGUUUGGAUAUUUUUCUUUUUUUUUUUUUCUAAACAACUUGACAUGCCUGAAAAAUAAUGAUAUGUAAAAAUCAUAUAUCUACAUAUGUACACAUACGUGCACACACAAUUUUAUUCACAUUUUUGAAGUCUCUUUUCAAUGUCAUGUCACUAAGCCAAUGCUGUGUAACAAACCACUCUAAACACUGCUGGAUUGUAAUGGAUCACUCACAGUCUUGUGCAUCAGAUUUGGACUGGAAUUACUCGACCAGUUUUAUUGCCAGCAGUACCUGGCUUCCUCAUGAAUCUGCUCUUGGCUGGUGGGUUGACUAUGAGCUGGUUGGGCCCCUGCUAAAACAAUGCAUUUCUGUUGCAUGUGGUUCCAUUUUCUAAAAGGAUAGGCUGGAAUCCCUAUCCUCAAGUGGUUGUAGAAGCAUUUCCAGGAGCUCUGAGAGGGAAAGCUGCAACAUGCAAGGGUUUCUCAAGUCUUUGUUUGGAUCAUAUUUACUAAUUUAGUUUUAUUGUCCAGAGAAAGUCACAUGACCAAACUCAGUGUGGGUAGGAGGAGGAGAGUAUGUCAUUGCCAGUCAUUCCUAGAAUAAUCUAAGCACAGCCUUGGUGGAAAAAAAUAAAAAACAGCAAAACACUUGAGAAAUAAUUAUGAACAGUUGAUAUUAUGCAGAUUAUAUUUUUUCACAAAUGUUUAGGCAGAGCUUUACAAGAUAAUAUGAAAAGGAGAUGGAUGUAUGUGGAAUAUAAAUUCUUAAUUAAAAGUAAGGCUUUAGGGCUACUCAAAAAGAAUUGAAUUGUUAUGCAAAAAUCUGAUUAGAAUUCUGAGAUUUGCUAUUCAGAAUUGUGUAUUGUUAGGUUGAGAUUGGUCUUUUUUAUUUUCUUUUUUAAAAAAAAUAUUUAUUUAUUUUUUACUUGAGAGUCAGAGUUACACAUAGGAGAGGCAGAGAAAGAGAGAUAAAGAGAGAGAGAGAGACAGAGAGAGAGAGAGAGAGAGAGAGAGAGAGAGAGGUCUUCCAUCUACUGGUUCACUCUCUAAUUGGCCAGAAUGGCCGGAGCUGCACCAAUUCGAAGCCAGGAGCCAGGAGCUUUCUCUGGGUCUCCCAGGCGGGUGCAGGGGCCCAAGGACUUGGGCCAUCUUCUACUGCUAUCCCAGGCCAUAGCAGAGAGCUGGAUCAGAAAUGGAGCAGCCGGGACUAGAACCGGCGCCCAUAUGGGAUGCCGGUGCCUCAGGCCAGGGCAUUAACCCACUGUGCCACAGCGCCGGCCCUCAGUCUUUUUUCUUUUAAAAUGUUAUUCUCUCCCUAGAUGGAAAAUAGUGAGGUAGAUAGAUGAUAGACACAUAGCUAUAGAGAUGUAGAAAUAAAUCUUUCUGUGAACACACAUAGACCUACAUAUCUGUAUAUAUGUGUUCAUAUAUAUGUGUACAUAUACAUAUAAAAUGAGUUUUUUAAAAAGCAUUGAAAUUGGUUGUACUUAUUGCUAUCAUGAGCAUUCAUCAAUUUAGUACAAUGAAAGGAAUUUUCCAUAUUUUGCUCCUGAUUUUCUUCAAUAAGCAAUUAAAAUGUUAAUUUGCAUUCAAUCAACAAGUCAGCAGUUACAUUCUGAAGGCUGUUGCAGAUCACAGCCAAACAUCAUGGCUCACAUAUGAUGCUACAGAAGGAACUUUGGCUGUGAGAGGACACUUCCUGCACUCCUAUUUCACACUAGCCUUGCAUGCAUUUUUUUUCAUGUCAUGAAGAAGAAUUUCUAAACUGAGAAAAUAUAGAAAGUUUGAAAAGCCAGUGAUAGUUUUGUGUUGACAGCUUCAAUUUCAACAAGAGUUGCUGUUGUCUAAAUCAAUACACAGAGCUCACUCAUAUUUGCAUAAUCCUAUGUCAUCUAUAAUGAACCCAGGCUGAAGAGAACUAUUUCUGGAGACUGUCUAUGGGCUAAUCCUCUGCCUGCGGUGCAGUCACCCCGGGUUCUAGUCCCGGUUGGGGCGCCGGAUUCUGUCCCGAUUGCUCCUCUUCCAGUCCAGCUCUCUGCUGUGGCCCGGCAGCGCAGUGGAGGAUGGCCCAAGUCUUUGGGUCCUGCACCAGCAUGGGAGACCAGGAGUAAGCACCUGGCUCCUGGCUUUGGAUCCUGCAGCGCACUGGUCGCAACACACUGUCCAUAGCAGCCACUUGGGGGGUGAACCAAUGGAAACAGGAAGACCUUUCUCUCUCUCUCUUUCUCUCUCUCUGUCACUUUGCCUGUCCAAAAAAAAAAAAAAGACUGUACUAUUUUUCAUGUCCAUAUUCCCUUAAUUUAUGAAGAACUCAGAGAUGCACUCAAUAUAAAGUAAUUGUUAUACUUUAAAUCCUCUAAUCACUCCCAAUUUAUAUGUAAGAUAUAUACUUUUCAAUUUUUUCUUUCUUCCAGUUAUUGAAAUUACUAACUAUUUUGGGAAAAGAAAUCAAUGUUUACUCAUACAAUAAUAAUGAUAACCUUUGUAAAUUCUUAUAAUAAUCUUGGAUAUAAGGGAGUAUUCUCUAAGUUAGUAAAUGAAAUGAUCAGGGAGAGCUCACAUAUAUGCUGAUAAAGAACUUAAACAACCAGAACCUAUCAGUAUUAAUUCAGUUAGAUUCAACCAUAAUAAGUUGAUAAUGUCCUAUAGUUCUUUACUCAUAAAUUUGAUGAAGAUUCACUGUUUUAACUGAAUACAUUUGAUAGAUAUGGCGGAGAUGGUGGGUAAAGCAGAAGUUGUUAAUUAUAAUAAUGUAUAUUGCUAGUGAUGUUUCUAAUUGUUAUUAAACAUUAUUUAGAGAUUAGACAAGAUGAUGAGAGGAAACAAAAGCUGUCAUUCUAGUUGGUCUUGUUAGUUUGAAAAAGACAGGAAUAAACUAAUUACUUAGAAUGCAAUGAUUUCACAUCUUUAGAUAUUACCAUUUAGGAAUUUGAUAACAAAGUAAAGGAAAAAAACAAAUAACUUAGUUUUGAUAUUUUCACUCAGUUUGCUAAAGUCAUACAUGGUGUACUAAGUAAAUUAUAUUUCACUUCAAAUAACUAAAAUCAGUAUGUAUUUUUUCACCUUGUAUGAAUAUGUGGUUAUUUGAAGUAGUGCAUUUCCAUUGUAAUUAAAUGUUAAUGAGAUAAAUAAUUUUCAUUGAAUUUCAUCGGGUAAGAAAAAACUAUUACCAUUUAUUAUGACUGUGGCAUUUCAAAAAGAUCAAGUUAAAAGGAAUGAAACUUCAAACAAUUUCGCUCAUCACAUGAAUUAUUACUUCGGGUUCAUUUCUGGAAAGAAGAAUGAGACUUCAUAAGAUUGGUUUUAAUAAUAUCAAGAGAUUAACAUUUCUUUUUUUAACUUUUAUUUAAUGAAUAUAAAUUUCCAAAGUACAGUUU
Molecule: non-coding RNA, 11967 nt
Organism: Oryctolagus cuniculus (rabbit)
Lineage: Eukaryota; Metazoa; Chordata; Mammalia; Lagomorpha; Leporidae
Source: RefSeq, a predicted model, not a curated record